Molecule: long non-coding RNA, 313 nt
Organism: Helianthus annuus (common sunflower)
Lineage: Eukaryota; Viridiplantae; Streptophyta; Magnoliopsida; Asterales; Asteraceae
Exons: 3
Source: RefSeq, a predicted model, not a curated record
CUCUAUCUCUCUCUCUCUAUCUCCAAAAAAACCCACUUCUGUUAAACCUAAAUCAUACCAAAAUUAGCUUGAAUCCAUGGAUGUAGAUAAGAAAUAUGGACUCCAAUACAAGCGAACAAGAUUCAAGAAUACUGAAAACAAUGGAGAAUAAUUACACUCUGAUCUAUCCCAAAAAAAACCUUAAAAGAAGGAAUCGACUGGGAAAGGGAAGAUAUUCAAAAAGCAUGAUAGUAAAACACGGCGUCAAGAAAUCUGCUGCUGUUAAAACACAGCGUCAAGAAAUCUGCUGCUGCUAAAACACAGCGUCAAGAAA